Molecule: long non-coding RNA, 1104 nt
Filed under: Theropithecus gelada (gelada)
Lineage: Eukaryota; Metazoa; Chordata; Mammalia; Primates; Cercopithecidae
Description: lncRNA (ENSTGEG00000000681.1)
Source: RNAcentral
CCCAUGCCCGACCCGCGGGUGCCGGAGAUCUGACUCACCGUCCCCCUCCGGGCUUAGCCGGCGGAGGUGGGGCGGGUGCCGCAGAGGUAGCCAAGCAGCCCCUGCGCGCCUCCGGCCUGGCCCAGCGACCUCCUCUCCGGCCUGCAGUUACCCGGUCCCCUCCCGCCACCACCCGCUACCCGACCACCUCCGAGUCCGCCUGGGGUGGCCGAACGUAUGGAGCUGGGCUCCAGGGUGCACGAGGAUGGGGGAUGAGGAGCGGGGCGUUCUCCCUCCCAGCACCCCCCAGCUGACUGUGCCCGGAGAGGGUGUGUGAGCUGGAACCUCCAGCAUUCUCGGGGAUACGAACUUCCAACGCUGGGCAGCCUCUUAAGGCUUCUAGGAAUUCGCAUCCUCCGCGCCCCCGCCAGCGGAUCGGUUGCGAGAGGGACCGUUCGGGCCCGCGGGGCCGGGAAUGGAGGUGGGAGGGCGGGGCCGAGGCGGCGGCCGCCUGCGGACUGGGGACCCGGGAGGACGGACGCGGACGCGGGCUGCUAGUCUUUUACAGCUCUUCAGCGCCCACCACUACCCACCCCUCUAGAAGACCCCGGGCGAUGGUGGGGCUCUUGGGCAUUCUGAGACUGCGCUUGGUGGAGCCCCCUACUGGCCCGACCGGAUUUCUCAGCCUGCGACUCAGCCCCAGGCUACGCGAAAGAGGCCGGACCCGGCUUUUACUGCCUCCUGAAGCCUUCCUCUUGUUCACACUGAGUGUCCAGUCCCUCCAAAUCUGACUACACUCUACUGGCAAGGAACACCUGGGCCAUGUUUUAGAGAUCAUCCGAAGACUAACCCCAAAAGUUUAUGAAGAGAAAGCAGAGGCCGAGCUGAAGAUGGACCAGGGUCACACCCAGGUAGAGGCAGGAUCUAAACUGAAACUGGUGUCAAAUCUGGUUGCCUUGAAGCAACACUGGGCAGGAUAGAGCAGAGUGAGGUCCGAGUGUGAAGAUCCAGCCUGAUGCCCAAACUGACGCCUCUUCAUUCUCCCCCGCUCCGUCUGUAAAAGUCAAGGGUUAAUCCAUCUACUUUAUUGCAUUAUAUGGAGAAAUAAAUGAAAUGUCAUAGCUG